Molecule: long non-coding RNA, 791 nt
Organism: Mytilus trossulus (common blue mussel)
Lineage: Eukaryota; Metazoa; Mollusca; Bivalvia; Mytilida; Mytilidae
Exons: 5
Source: RefSeq, a predicted model, not a curated record
CAUUAGUUCAUCAAAUGGCACUUUGGAUAUUAUAUGGCAGACAAAAACAGAGCCAACGAACUUUGGAUAAACAAGGCAUGAAAGAAAUUUAAACAGAGAGAGCUUGCUAGUUCUGGAUGAUUUUAGCUUUUGAAAUUCAGAUUACCCCAUAUCACAUGAAACUUGCAAAACUUCCAGUGAAUAAACUUAUAGACAGACAAGCGGAGAUAUUGAACCAGACUGUUCCAAGAUUGUACAUGAUGUAGUACCACAUCCAGGGUCCUCACAGUUUUGUGUAUACAUGACAAUUGUACCUCAUGCAUGGACAGAAAUAGCGAUUGAAUCAUAUGAAGAAAAUGUGACUUAAAAUCAUAAAAACUAAGAAAAGAAAUAUAAAGAUUUAUUGGCCAAUGGAUGAAGUCGCUUAUUUUAAAGUAUGUUGAGAGAAGUUCAGAACAAGCUAUUUUGUUUGAGGAGAAGUUGUCAGCACGUCAUCAUUGAAUAAAUUAAAUUAUAGUGAAGCCUAAACAGAAAUGAGACAAUUAUCAAAUAAUUCAAAGACUACAUGGAUGAAGACUUACAAGGCAAAUAAUUGGCUGUGGCAAACAUGUGUAUGCAUUUACAUGUUUAAAGACUUGAAGAACUUGUACUGCCUUCUUCAGAUUUAAGUAAAUUCUGAGUAUGAAUUGAAGAAUUUUUGCUCAUUUAAAUGAAUUAUGAAAAUGUUUUACAUCUUAAAUAUACAAAAACAACAUACAUUAUUUUUUCUUUCUUGAAACUUAUUACAAAAUAAAUUCUUAUAUAUAUACUAA